RNAcentral lists this non-coding RNA (22 nucleotides) under Arabidopsis thaliana (thale cress). The record is from RNAcentral. Lineage: Eukaryota; Viridiplantae; Streptophyta; Magnoliopsida; Brassicales; Brassicaceae.
UGAAGGUAAAUUUUUGUUUGAG